UUAGAGUGCUCAAAUCAGGUCGUAUUUAGGCCUGAAUACUGUGUGCAUGGAAUAAUGGAAUAGGACCUCGGUUCUAUUUUGUUGGUUUUUUGGAAUCAGAGGUAAUGAUUAAUAGGGACAGUCGGGGGCAUUCGUAUUGCGACGUUAGAGGUGAAAUUCUUGGAUCGUCGCAAGACGAACCUAAGCGAAAGCAUUUGCCAAGUAUGUUCCCGUUAAUCAAGAACGAAAGUUAGAGGUUCGAAGGCGAUCAGAUACCGCCUAGUUCUAACCAUAAACGAUGCCAGCCAGCGAUCCGCCGAAGUUCCUCCGAUGACUCGGCGGGCAGCUUCCGGGAACCAAAGACUUUGGGUUCCGGGGAAGGUAUGGUUGCAAAGCUGAAACUUAAAGGAAUUGACGGAAGGGCACCACCAGGAGUGGAGCCUGCGGCUUAAUUUGACUCAACACGGGAAACCUCACCAGGCCCGGACACCGGAAGGAUUGACAGAUUGAGAGCUCUUUCUUGAUUCGGUGGGUGGUGGUGCAUGGCCGUUCUUAGUUGGUGGAGCGAUUUGUCUGGUUAAUUCCGAUAACGAACGAGACUCAGACCUGACUAAAUGACGUAUUUCCGGUAUCCACAAUAGUGCUACCGGCGAAAUCAAUAUCUUCUU
Molecule: ribosomal RNA, 647 nt
Filed under: Magicicada septendecim (seventeen-year cicada)
Lineage: Eukaryota; Metazoa; Arthropoda; Insecta; Hemiptera; Cicadidae
Description: SSU rRNA
Rfam family: Eukaryotic small subunit ribosomal RNA
Source: RNAcentral